UACGUAGGGUGCAAGCGUUGUCCGGAAUUAUUGGGCGUAAAGAGCUCGUAGGCGGUUUGUCGCGUCUGCUGUGAAAACUCGGGGCUUAACUCCGGGCCGGCAGUGGGUACGGGCAGACUAGAGUGCGGUAGGGGAGACUGGAAUUCCUGGUGUAGCGGUGAAAUGCGCAGAUAUCAGGAGGAACACCGGUGGCGAAGGCGGGUCUCUGGGCCGGAACUGACGCUGAGGAGCGAAAGCGUGGGGAGCGAACAGG
This 253-nucleotide ribosomal RNA is filed under the name uncultured bacterium. Its description in RNAcentral is "partial 16S ribosomal RNA". It matches the Rfam family "Bacterial small subunit ribosomal RNA", at positions 524 to 776 of the family's 1533-position model. The record is from RNAcentral.